This 450-nucleotide ribosomal RNA is filed under the name uncultured bacterium. RNAcentral describes it as "bacterial SSU rRNA". It matches the Rfam family "Bacterial small subunit ribosomal RNA", at positions 354 to 796 of the family's 1533-position model. The record is from RNAcentral.
GUGGGGAAUAUUGGACAAUGGGCGAAAGCCUGAUCCAGCCAUGCCGCGUGUGUGAAGAAGGUCUUCGGAUUGUAAAGCACUUUAAGUUGGGAGGAAGGGCAGUAAGCUAAUACCUUGCUGUUUUGACGUUACCGACAGAAUAAGCACCGGCUAACUUCGUGCCAGCAGCCGCGGUAAUACGAAGGGUGCAAGCGUUAAUCGGAAUUACUGGGCGUAAAGCGCGCGUAGGUGGUUUUGUAAGUUGAAGGUGAAAUCCCCGGGCUCAACCUGGGAACUGCCUCCAAAACUGCAUGACUAGAGUACGGUAGAGGGUAGUGGAAUUUCCUGUGUAGCGGUGAAAUGCGUAGAUAUAGGAAGGAACACCAGUGGCGAAGGCGACUACCUGGACUGAUACUGACACUGAGGUGCAAAAGCGUGGGGAGCAAACAGGAUUAGAUACCCGAGUAGUCC